Molecule: ribosomal RNA, 334 nt
Filed under: Listeria monocytogenes
Lineage: Bacteria; Bacillati; Bacillota; Bacilli; Caryophanales; Listeriaceae
Description: partial 23S ribosomal RNA
Rfam family: Bacterial large subunit ribosomal RNA
Source: RNAcentral
GGUUAAGUUAGAAAGGGCGCACGGUGGAUGCCUUGGCACUAGGAGCCGAAGAAGGACGGGACUAACACCGAUAUGCUUUGGGGAGCUGUACGUAAGCGUUGAUCCAGAGAUUUCCGAAUGGGGGAACCCACUAUCUUUAGUCGGAUAGUAUCCUUACGUGAAUACAUAGCGUAAGGAAGGCAGACCCAGGGAACUGAAACAUCUAAGUACCUGGAGGAAGAGAAAGAAAAAUCGAUUUCCUGAGUAGCGGCGAGCGAAACGGAAAGAGCCCAAACCAAGAAGCUUGCUUCUUGGGGUUGUAGGACACUCUAUACGGAGUUACAAAAGAAAGUUA